AAAGAUAAAUGUUGGGAAGAGGAAUGAACAUAUCCCAAGCAGCAUUUAUGACCCAACAGCUGAAGAAGAGGAGGGGACAUGGAAAAACGCUUGUGGCCUGGCCUCUGCCUUCUUGUGGAAUCACAUAUAAGAUUUCUAGCUUGGCGAACUCCUUGAGGACAUGGGCUUUGUUUUCUGUUCCAUUUUACCCUCCACUGUGCCUUCGCAGGGAUUCCCCAGGAUCAACCAUCUGAGCAGAUACCUUGGAAUGUCCCCAGAUUUCAGAGCCUCGGACCAGCAGCAACACACUCUGAAGUAGGUCUCAGAAGACAAAAAGCUGAAAUCAACUCAUGCUUCCUGCUACACAGAAUCCACUGAGAGGAAAAGGAAACUUCACCGAAACUUCAGAAAGCUACAGAAAUGACAUCCAUUUUCACAAUCCCAGAAGGAAAGAUGCAUCUGAAGGGAAUAAAAACAGAGCAAUGGAAGAGUAUUUGUUAAAAUAAAUGGCUUUGACAGGGCAUUUUCUCUAAAGGUCUCCUUUGCCUCAAAUAGUACUCCUGCCUUCAGUCCAUCUUGCAUGCCACCCAGCUGUGGGCAUCCUGGCAGUUGCUGCCAUGUCCUUGCCUAAAAGCCUCCACCCCCAACCAACCCACC
This 636-nucleotide long non-coding RNA is filed under the name Homo sapiens (human). Its description in RNAcentral is "HSALNT0021383". Lineage: Eukaryota; Metazoa; Chordata; Mammalia; Primates; Hominidae. The record is from RNAcentral.